CCUUGUUUGGAAACUGGUUGUGUAGAGAAUAUGAGCCUUUGGAAAAAGAGGCUCAUAUAUUUUCAUAGUCAUAGCUUCAGUGUAACAUGCACCUUUGCAGUUCUUCGUAUUUCACCUGAUAAAUAAUCGAGACUGUAAUUUUUCCUCCUAUCUAGGUGAUUAUGUAGCUCUCAAUUCGUUCGAGCAAUCAGUCAUUCAUAAUAUGAAACACAGUCAUAGCUCAUUCACUCAAAAUGAUUCAGAAAUUUUACUUAUUGGAAUGAAAUCAGGCGAUGAUUCUUCUUCUGUGGCGGCUCGUGCUUUGCGGCAGUCUGUUAAUCUGUACAAAUAAAAUGCCUCGUAAUUUUUGGGAGUGUUGUAUAAUCAGUCUGGAAACCUCAGAUCAUGCGGAUAUUUGGCUUUGAUGAAGUUUAACCUUCCGAAGAAGUAAUGGAGCUCUUGGAUUUUUAAAUGCAGAAUUCUCCUUUCGACGAUGUAGCUGGCGAUCUCGUUGUGAAGUCGAUGGAACAUGAACACUGGGCACGGACAGCGGGUAGGCGACGUACAGCGUUUGGUGGAGGCGUUACGGAGGGCAGGUGAUGGCUUAUGAUACAGGACAGAAGCAGAUAUUCCAGCAGGGGAUUUCCAGCGAUGCCCUCAUGGAAGCAUAAUGGACGACCAUAUGAAUGUGAUCAACUUUCUGAAGAAGGAUCAAUCAGUAGGUCAAUGCUACACCUGACAGGCAGACCCAGAAUGAUUCUCUUCUUAAAUACACAAAAUUCUAAAGAAAGGUCGAGCACUGUUACUAUUUCAGGAGGAAAAUCUAUAACACCGAUAUAGGAUGCAAUAAAAGUAUCUGCAAGAAGGGUAUAUCCUGGACGGGAGUCAUACCAGCAGAGAUACACAGAGCUGUUAUGAUAAAACCAAAAAAAUCAAAAUUGUAACAGUCCUUUUACGGAACAACUAUGGAGCAGGUUGGAUGGGCAUUAAUAAACAUUUAUUCUACAAGAAAGUCUUCGAACAGAAGUCUGGAAGUGAACUGGAUGAAGAAUUUGAUGUCCUGGAGCUACCUGGUGAGGCUGAAGAGCAGAUCAGUAUUUGAUGUAUAAAGGUAGUGAUCUCAUUAUAUGUGCUAUUUUAAUGUAAAGCUGACAGCAGUUAUUCAAAAGAAUGAAUUAGUAGUUAUGUACUACAUUAUCUUUUGUAAUGGUCACAAAUAAUUUUGUAACAGGAAUAAAUAUUAUGAUAGUUGUAUGUUA
Schistocerca gregaria is the source of this 1238-nucleotide long non-coding RNA. RefSeq lists it as uncharacterized. NCBI's taxonomy places the organism in Eukaryota, Metazoa, Arthropoda, Insecta, Orthoptera, Acrididae. The record is from RefSeq and is a predicted model, not a curated record. The transcript is spliced from 3 exons.